Molecule: small RNA, 72 nt
Filed under: Pseudomonas sp. 8AS
Lineage: Bacteria; Pseudomonadati; Pseudomonadota; Gammaproteobacteria; Pseudomonadales; Pseudomonadaceae
Description: Pseudomonas sRNA P10
Rfam family: Pseudomonas sRNA P10
Source: Rfam by way of RNAcentral
CUUGGGCGACCCCACCGCCUGCCCGGUUCCCGGCCAUGGCAGCAACCCCAUCGCCGCCGGCUCGCCCAACGU